AGGGGGGCUGCCUCCACUUCAUACUAUUAAAUGAGGUGGAGAAAUCCACUCUAUGCUAAAUAAAGUGGUGAAAUGCAUUGCUGCAUAUCAUCUUCUUCUUCACCACUUGUUUUAGGCAGCCAUGGAAAUGGAGAAACCAACCCUGCAAGUCUUGGCCAGCAGCUGCAAAUAAUUUGGUUAGUAAUCUCCUUGUUUGGUGUGUUAAUUAUUUAGAAUACCUUUGUUAAUUAUCCAUUAAUUUUAAGAAGGGGGCUUUACCAGUAGCUUAGGAAGUUUGUUUUAGUUAUUGAAUGGACUAAUUAUGAACGGAAACCAUAAUCGGAUUAUUAGUGGUGUCGUGUUGGUGCUUGGGCUGUUUUGAUUAAAGCAAACUGCGGGAAAAUUCUGUUUUGGCAUUAUGUAUAUGUAAAAUGUGAUUAUGAGUAUAUACUCCAAAGGAUGAAUACGAUAAGGUAGAUGUGUUGUGUUAUGCCUCGUAUUUUUUUAUACGUAGUGCGCAUCGUGAUCUAGUGGACGUAAGUCCGAGGAAUGAGAUUUUAUUUUAAGUUCCAAGUGAUUAAAGAAAUAUUAGGAAAGGAUGUUAUUUCCAAAUGUGAUAUUAAGUAUGAGUUGGCUAAUGUAAGUGCCAUUAUCUUUAAGUGAGGGAUUAAUUAGUGGCUAAUUUGGAUUAAUUUAAUCCAAUGGGCCCCACCACUCAUAAUUGGUGGCUGAUUAAUAUUUAAUCCAGUGGGCCCCACCACUCAAGGCAAAAAUUAAAAAGGAAUCAGAUUGUGGGCUGGCCUUAGUGGACAGGUGUAGAGGGGGGCUGCCUCCACUUCAUACUAUUAAAUGAGGUGGAGAAAUCCACUCCAUGCUAAAUAAAGUGGUGAAAUGCAUUGCUGCAUAUCAUCUUCUUCUUCACCACUUGUCUUAGGCAGCCAUGGAAAUGGAGAAACCAACCCUGCAACUCUUGGCCAGCAGCUGCAAAUAAUUUGGUUAGUAAUCUCCUUGUUUGGUGUGUUAAUUCUUUAGAAUACCCUUGUUAAUUAUCCAUUAAUUUUAAGAAGGGGGCAUGACCAGUAGCUUAGGAAGUUUGUUUUAGUUAUUGAAUGUGCUAAGUAUGAAUGGAAACCAUAAUCGGAUUAUUAGUGGUGUCGUGUUGCUGCUUGGGCUGUUUUGAUUAAAACAAACUGCAGGAAAAUUCUGUUUUGGCAUUAUGUAUAUGUUGAAUGUGAUUAUGUGUAUAUAAUCCAUAGGAUGAAUACAAUAAGGUAGAUGUGUUGCGAAUUAUAAAACGAAUUAUCGCUCGGUGUGUCAUUGCUUCGCUGCUAUGGUUGCCGAGACGGAACUGUUUUGGGGAGGGGGCUGUUUAAUAUGAUUCUUUGGGUUAUAUGUGUUAUUGGUAUUGCUGUGGAUAAUUUGGAUUGUUGUCGGAUUGGGACGAACUAAGGAAAAUAGGGGAGGUGUUGCCGAAUUUUCGUUAGAUUAUUAGCUAGCUUACAAGAAAGUAAAGCACGAUGUUUAUCUAAUUGCGGCACGAUUGUUGCUUGUUAUAGAUUAAUAGCUUGAGCAGUAAAUAUUGGACGUGCGGCUCGAUUAUACGGUAUGUAACGCUGUCCCUUCUUUCUUUGUUUGGCAUGACUUUUAAAAAUAAGCGAAUAAAGGACAGGUUUGAUACUUACCUCUAAAGCGUCUAGGUGACGUAUAUUCUUGCUUCCACAAUUAUUCCUCUAUAUAUUGACUAUGUCUAAGGCUAUGAUGAUCUCUAAUAUCUAUGGUAGUGCUUCUUAGAGUCAUUGAGAUUUUAUGUUUCCAUAUCGUAUUAAAGGUUCAUAAUCUUGAUAAAACAUUAAUCUUUGGUAAUACUCCUUGCUGGUUCACGUUGAUUGUUCUAUUGAGUUAUAAGAAAUGAUUUUAAUUGCAUAUGGUUGCUCAUAAUAUUCUGCUCGUGCAUAGAGUCAUUUAUCAUUUCACCGAGUCCCGGGCCGGGUAAUGUUCGUGCGGAGUUUCUUGCAUAUGUCACCGAGUUCCUCACUAGAGGGCCGGGUAUGUAUAUUAUAUAUAUGAUUGGUGAUGAGGAUGGUUAUGAUGAUGAUGAUGACGGAGAUGACGUGAUGAUUAUUUUGCUGAGCCUCUUACUAGGGAAGCUGGGCACCUUAAAUGUUAAAUAUAUGCAUGAUUUUCACUUAAAAGGGUAUAUGUGUAGCGAUAUUUUGUUUCGACUUGCUAUAUUGGUAUCCUGUCAUCUUUACCUUAUGCUUUACAUACUCAGUACAUUGUCCGUACUGACCCCCCUUUCCUCGGGGGGCUGCGUUUCAUGCCCGCAGGUGUAGACGCACAGUUCGGUGAUCCUCCCGCCUAGGAUAUCUACUCUGCUGAUUGGGAGAGCUCCACUGUUCGGGAGCCCAGUCGUUUUGGUACAUAACUUUUUGUGUAGUCUUUUGCUCAUCGAUGGGUACGGCGGGGCCCUGUCCCGUCGAGUUUCACUACUGUACUCUUAGAGGUCUGUGGACAUUAUGUUGGUUGUAUAUAUAUGUUUUGAAUAAUGGUCUGGACAUGGUUUGUUUGGGAUGUCCGCUUGUACAGGGGCAGCCUUGUCGGCUGCGUACAUCAUUGUGUAUUGUGUAGUGGCAGCCUUGUCGGCAUACGUAUGUUAUUAUGCUUUGAAUAGUGGCGGCCUUGUCGGCUCGUGUAUGCUGUUAUGGUUGAAUGGUUAUAGACUCCUUAUGAGACAGGUCCUCUUAUAUAUAUAUGACGUUGGGGUUGGCUUGAUUUGAUUAAAUUCCAUAUUGUCUUAGUUUCAGUUGGUUAUACUUAGCAGGUUUGUAUGUGGGUGU
Molecule: long non-coding RNA, 2816 nt
Filed under: Solanum lycopersicum (tomato)
Lineage: Eukaryota; Viridiplantae; Streptophyta; Magnoliopsida; Solanales; Solanaceae
Description: long non-coding RNA (SLYC_LNC000184)
Source: RNAcentral